This 191-nucleotide ribosomal RNA is filed under the name uncultured bacterium. Its description in RNAcentral is "partial 16S ribosomal RNA". It matches the Rfam family "Bacterial small subunit ribosomal RNA", at positions 1309 to 1500 of the family's 1533-position model. The record is from RNAcentral.
AACUCGCCUGCAUGAAGCUGGAAUUGCUAGUAAUCGCGGAUCAGCAAGCCGCGGUGAAUACGUUCCCGGGCCUUGUACACACCGCCCGUCACACCAUGAGAGUCGGGAACACCCGAAGUCCGUAGUCUAACCGCAAGGGGGCGCGGCCGAAGGUGGGUCCGGUAAUUGGGGUGAAGUCGUAACAAGGUAUC